This 459-nucleotide ribosomal RNA is filed under the name uncultured Treponema sp. Its description in RNAcentral is "bacterial SSU rRNA". It matches the Rfam family "Bacterial small subunit ribosomal RNA", at positions 341 to 792 of the family's 1533-position model. Lineage: Bacteria; Pseudomonadati; Spirochaetota; Spirochaetia; Treponematales; Treponemataceae. The record is from RNAcentral.
ACGGAAGGCAGCAGCUACGAAUAUUCCGCAAUGGACGAAAGUCUGACGGAGCGACGCCGCGUGGAUGAUGAAGGUCGGAAGAUUGUAAAAUCCUUUUAAGUAUGAAGAAUAAGCAGGACAGUGAAUGGUCCUGUGGUGACGGUAGUACUUGAAUAAGCAACGGCUAAUUACGUGCCCGCAGCCGCGGUAAUACGUACGUUGCGAGCGGUGUUCGGAAUUAUUGGGCGUAAAGGGCAUGUAGGCGGAUAUGCAAGUGUGGUGUGAAAGGCGGGAGCUCAACUCCCGAACUGCGUUGAGAACUGCAUAACUAGAGUGACUGAGGGGCAGGCAGAAUUCCAGGUGCAGGGGUGAAAUCUGUAGAUAUCUGGAAGAAUACCAAUGGCGAAGGCAGCCUGCCAGCAGAUGACUGACGCUGAGGUGCGAAGGUGCGGGGAGCAAACAGGAUUAGAUACCCUGGUA